UAAAGGUCUAAAAGCAGCAAUCACCCA
This 27-nucleotide non-coding RNA is filed under the name Mus musculus (house mouse). The record is from RNAcentral. Lineage: Eukaryota; Metazoa; Chordata; Mammalia; Rodentia; Muridae.